ACAAAUGAGAGUUUGAUCCUGGCUCAGAACGAACGCUGGCGGCGUGCUUAACACAUGCAAGUCUGACGGAGUCAUUUUGAAGUAGCAAUAUGGAAAGAUGACUUAGUGGCGGACGGGUGAGUAACACGUAGG
This 132-nucleotide ribosomal RNA is filed under the name Nitrospirota bacterium. Its description in RNAcentral is "partial 16S ribosomal RNA". It matches the Rfam family "Bacterial small subunit ribosomal RNA", at positions 1 to 121 of the family's 1533-position model. The record is from RNAcentral. Lineage: Bacteria; Pseudomonadati; Nitrospirota.